RNAcentral lists this unclassified non-coding RNA (301 nucleotides) under uncultured Chaetomiaceae. RNAcentral describes it as "sequence contains ITS1". The stretch from base 1 to 105 matches the Rfam family "5.8S ribosomal RNA", at positions 50 to 154 of the family's 154-position model. The record is from RNAcentral. Lineage: Eukaryota; Fungi; Ascomycota; Sordariomycetes; Sordariales.
GAAAUGCGAUAAGUAAUGUGAAUUGCAGAAUUCAGUGAAUCAUCGAAUCUUUGAACGCACAUUGCGCCCGCCAGUAUUCUGGCGGGCAUGCCUGUACGAGCGUCAUUUCAACCAUCAAGCCCCCGGCUUGUGUUGGGGACCUGCGGCUGCCGCAGGCCCUGAAAACCAGUGGCGGGCUCGCUGUCACUCCGAGCGUAGUAGUUACAUCUCGCUCAGGGCGUGCUGCGGGUUCCGGCCGUUAAAAAGCCUUAUUUACCCCAAGGUUGACCUCGGAUCAGGUAGGAAGUCCCGCUGAACUUAU